RNAcentral lists this ribosomal RNA (390 nucleotides) under uncultured bacterium. Its description in RNAcentral is "bacterial SSU rRNA". It matches the Rfam family "Bacterial small subunit ribosomal RNA", at positions 28 to 415 of the family's 1533-position model. The record is from RNAcentral.
GAUAAACGCUGGCGGCGUGCCUAAUGCAUGCAAGUCGAACGGAUAGUUGUCUUCGGAUAGCUAUUAGUGGCAAACGGGUGAGUAACACGUGGGGAUCUGCCCAGUAGUGGGGAACAACUCCGAGAAAUCGGAGCUAAUACCGCAUACGGUCUGUGUUGAAGGACACGAGACUAAAGCCUUUCUUCGGAAAGGUGCUAUUGGAGGAACCUGCGGCUGAUUAGCUAGUUGGUGGGGAAAGGCCUACCAAGGCGAUGAUCAGUAGCUGGUCUGAGAGGAUGGACAGCCACACUGGGACUGAGAUACGGCCCAGACUCCUACGGGAGGCAGCAGCAAGGAAUUUUCGUCAAUGGGGAAACCCUGAACGAGCAACGCCGCGUGGGCGAAGAAGUC